This 1052-nucleotide long non-coding RNA is filed under the name Helianthus annuus (common sunflower). RNAcentral describes it as "hypothetical non coding rna". Lineage: Eukaryota; Viridiplantae; Streptophyta; Magnoliopsida; Asterales; Asteraceae. The record is from RNAcentral.
CCCACCUCUAACCUCUUCCUCUUCUCUACACGAGCCCACAUCAGUUCCCACCUCUUCCUCUUCUAUACAUUACACAAACCCACAUAAACCCUACACCUCCCAUCCUUUCAGCAAGUCUGAUCUUUUGUUCACCGGUAGGAGCACGCCGCUCGUUUGCUCGCCGCUCGUUUGCUCGCCGCUCGUUUGCUCGCCGCUCGUUUGCUCGCCGCUCGUUUGCUCGCCGCCAGUUCCCAUCGGCGGUCUCGUAUCCAAGAAUCUGCAGGGGCUCGUUCCUAAUAUUGCAUUUGAAGCACAAGAAUGACCAGCACCCGGGCUGUUUCCAGGUAUUCUGGGUUUGAACGCAUCAGCAACUGCUUCUGAAUUAGAAUACGACCCUUGUUUGGUGAACGAAUGGCCUGCUCCGGGACUGCUACCUAGGGUGAACGAAUGGCCUGCUUUGGUGCAGCUGUUAAAGGGUUUUGCAAUGCAUUGGAGUCAGUUGUAGUUAAAGGCUCAAAGCCCACACAAGGUGCAAAGGGUGAGCAUGUCGCAUGGGUCUAAGAUCUUAAAAAGCGCAGGCUCGAGACAAGCAAGGCGCACGUCCGGUCCAGGCCAUUGUUAGGUGUUUCAGACUUGUUUUCGGCUGUUUUACACUGGUUUAGAUUGUUUAGACUGAUUCAAAGCGUUUGAAACUACUUUUGGCGGUUAAGACAAGUUUUUUACCGGUUCAAGCCUGUUUGUUCCUGGUUUAAAGGAAUCUACUAGCAUCUCUUCUUGAAGAAGAAAGAAACCUACUUGUAACUCGUCUUGACGAAGAAAGGAAAGCAAGGGAAGAACUUCAAAAACAACUUCAAGAAUUUAUGAAGAAUUGGCGUCCUCCCUCUAAUUAGAUGUAGUUUUUGAUAUCUUUUUUGAAUUAUGUUAAAUUGUAUUAGCUUACAGUUUAAACAUAUUGGAACUUGCGUUGUGACGCAUGAUUUUUAAAUUUAUGUCAUUGUAACUUCAGUGAGUUUUGUAAAACAGGUUUUUGGUAUUACAAAUUAUUUCUGGGAUUUUUCGCCAGAAAAAUGCAG